The sequence is a ribosomal RNA, 285 nucleotides long. It matches the Rfam family "Eukaryotic large subunit ribosomal RNA", at positions 24 to 358 of the family's 3401-position model. The record is from Rfam.
CCCGCCGAAUUUAAGCAUAUAAGCAAGCGGAGGAGAAGUAACUAAACAGGAUUCCCUUAGUAAUGGCGAACGAACAGGGAUCAGCUUGGGUUGGAAACCGGGGCUUCUGCCUUGGAUUGUGGCCUUUAGACAUAGGCGGCGCGAGCGUAAGCCUCUUGGAACAGAGCGUCUACGUGGGUGAGAAUCCUGUGUUUCGCUUGAUGCCCGUCGUGCACGGCACUUGCUCUCGUUGUACGAAUAAGACCACAAACCACUGGAAACCGCAAGUUGAACGUUAAUAUGUGA